AAUUAGUCAAAAGAGUCACAGGGCUAGCCAAGAUUCAAGGUGGUAGUACUAUACUAGGGCAUGGAUACUGAAAUUCAGCCAGAGACUCAUUACCUAUUCUUUGAUUAGGGUAGAGUCCUUGUUGCUUGAGCAUGAUUCUGUGUCUGUCAGCCAUCAAUAAAGGAAGCCAUCAAUAAAGGAAGUCAUUCAUAGUGAUAUAGAAUACGGGAUUUAUUAUAGGGAGUAGCCAUGCAAUUGUGGCAGCUGGGGAAGAAAUUUCUGUAAGGCCGCCUUGUCUGGUGACGGUCUGGAGUUGGCUCAAGUAAGCUGUUGGAGAGAAAGGAUUGACCCAAAACAGGAGAAUGGAGACAAACUAGAACAUGAGAAGAUGUUCCGCAUGAGGACAGACUGCGGUCUGUCACUUCCUCCAACCUUGACAGCCUAGGUCUUUUGCAGAAGAAGCAAUGAAAGACUGAAAGAAACAGAAGGAAGGAUGGCAGGUAGGGGAGCCAUGGGCCCAGCUGCUGCCCAUUCCCAGAAAGAGGAGCCAGCAACUUAGCAACACUGCUCACGAACUCCAAGGAUGCCUGGUGCCCACAAUGACCUUCAGAGCUUCACAUCUCCAGCUUCAUUUUCCUUUCUGAAUCUCCCACGAACUUCUUUUUUGGUCAUCUCUACACCAGAAAAAUACAGUGAAGGAGAUUCUGGCAUUACAAAUUUCACAUGAGUUCUUUCAGCAGCAGGGAUGCCAGUCUGACUCCAGACCACAAGAGUAUCUGGGCCAUGCGUGGGAAAUACGUCAGCACCAGUGUGCAUGGUUGGGAAGAACAAGUGUGGCCUAAUACUGCUCACACUGACACAGGUGGGCUACUUCUUCAUCACUGGAGCCACAUGUCAACUAUUCCCACCCAAUUCACACACAGAGAGAGAGGCAGAGACAUAGGCAGAGGGAGAAGCAGGCUCCAUGCACCGG
Canis lupus familiaris (dog) is the source of this 952-nucleotide long non-coding RNA. RefSeq lists it as uncharacterized. The transcript is spliced from 4 exons. NCBI's taxonomy places the organism in Eukaryota, Metazoa, Chordata, Mammalia, Carnivora, Canidae. The record is from RefSeq and is a predicted model, not a curated record.